GGGCCCGCACAAGCGGUGGAGCAUGUGGUUUAAUUCGAUGCAACGCGAAGAACCUUACCAGGGCUUGACAUACUACGAAUCCUUCUGAGAAGAAGGAGUGCCUUCGGGAAUGUAGAUACAGGUGGUGCAUGGCUGUCGUCAGCUCGUGUCGUGAGAUGUUGGGUUAAGUCCCGCAACGAGCGCAACCCUUAUUUUUAGUUACCAACUUGUUGGGUUCUCUAGAAAGACUGCCGGUGACAAACCGGAGGAAGGUGAGGAUGACGUCAAGUCAGCAUGCCCCUUAUGUCCUGGGCUACACACGUGCUACAAUGGUUAAGACAAAGAGUCGCGAGCUUGCAAAAGUCAGCUAAUCUCAUAAACUUAGCCUAAGUUCAGAUUGUAGGCUGCAACUCGCCUACAUGAAGUUGGAAUC
Molecule: ribosomal RNA, 412 nt
Filed under: uncultured bacterium
Lineage: Bacteria
Description: bacterial SSU rRNA
Rfam family: Bacterial small subunit ribosomal RNA
Source: RNAcentral